This is a long non-coding RNA of Ctenopharyngodon idella (grass carp), 2716 nucleotides long. RefSeq lists it as uncharacterized. Lineage: Eukaryota; Metazoa; Chordata; Actinopteri; Cypriniformes; Xenocyprididae. The record is from RefSeq and is a predicted model, not a curated record. The transcript has 5 exons.
AAGAACAUUUUUACAUUAACUGACCUCUCUUUAAAGAGUCUGAUAUCAACGUCUUAAUUUUAGGAGUUGGAAUGCAACAUUCCAGAUCCCAGACAGGAUGAUCGGAAUACUAAUAGCUUUUCCUGUCCUUGUGAAUCCCUCAUGUAAAUGAACUAACUAAACCCCGAAUGGGAAUCUGUGUGUGUGUGUGUGAUUCAGUUUUAGGUACUAUUGACUAAGGAAGGAUGCGAGUCCAUUGUGGCACAACAAUGAGAAGGUCUUCCCUCUAGGAGCCCAAUUUGACUCUCAAUGGGUUUGAGGAACAUCUGGGCUGAAGGGGUGACAGUGUAUGGGCCCCCAGCAAGCUAUUCCUUGCCAGUUGCAUUUAAUGCGGGAACACUGUCCAGGACAGGCUGAAAACAAACAUGAAUGGAGCACAAUUCUACAGUUACUGCUCUCAUCUCCUUCCACUGUUCAUUAACAGACAACGACGAGAGCGUAUGACAGCCCUACGUCACAAUAAUACAGAGCUUUGUUCAAGGCUUCCAGUCUCCUCUAUGCUUACAGGCACUGUAUGAAUCACUAUAAUAGACAAUUGAUUGUUCCUGGAUGUGAUGAUACACACUGACCUCGCUAUUUCACAAACACAAGCUAUAAAAUCCCACUGACAUCCAUUGUUCUCAACCUGUAUAUAUACCUUUUGUCAUUUUAAUUUUUUGGGGGGACCUACCAGAAAUGGAAAUUCUAUCAUUUACUCACCCUUGUCAUUCCAAACCUGUAUGACUUUCUUCUGUAGAACAUAAAAAAGAAGAUAUUUUGAAGAAUUUUGGUAACCAAACAGUUUUGGUUCUCAUUGACUCUAUAUUGAUUAUAUGGACAAAAACUACAAUGGAAAUCAAUGGGAACUGAAACUGUUUGGUUACCAACAUUCGUUUGUGUUUUUCAUUUUUGGGUGAACUAUCCCUUUAAGACAUGAUUUGGACCAUUUGAACCUCAUAAGAGGACCCCUUACUAAAUGUGCACACACACAAACACACACUUCACCCUAAAAAAAAGUAUGUUAAAGGUAUAGUUCACCCCCUAAAAAAGAACAAUCUGUAAUCAUUAACUCACCAUCAACCCAAACCCUUGACUGAUUGAUCUUUUCCAUGCAGUAAAUGGUAAAUGAAGGAGUUUAGCCUCAGAAAGAGCACAAAAUCACCACAAAAGUAUCAUAAAAGUUGUUCUUUCAAAGACUCCAUAAAAAAACAAUAGGUUUAUGAGACAAAAAAGCCAAAAUGUAAGUCCUCGCAUUCAUCCGAGCGCUUAUUGAUGAAUUCAUAAGAGUACACGAGAGAACUAGCUAUGUCGGAUUCAUGAAUAAAUUAUUUGUUUUAGUCAGAUCUUGUAAAAAAAUGUUUAAUUCCAUUCACAAAGUUGAUCUGAAUGAUUUGUUUACAUCUGAUUCUCAAGUUCAAUUUACCAACUUGUUUUAACAGCUCAAUAGAGGGGAAGAUUACUGAAUAAUGACUUAAAUUUCUGUGUCGACUCACACGACUGCUACUGUAAAUCUUCAGACGACUUGGGAUGUGUACCACUUUUAUGCCGAUCUUUCUUUAGACUUGACAUCUUCGGUCACGUUUUAUUGUCAAUGCAUGGAAAACAGUGAUUCUUCAAAAUGUCUCCUUUUGUGUUCCACAGUGGAAAGAAAGCCAUAAGUUCUUGGAGCAACAUAAAGGUUCUGUCCUUGAUGGAAGGAUUACCAGGGGUUAUUCUCAAUUCAGAUCAAGAUACGGCCAAGGUUCCUGCUUCAGCAAGGUUGUAUUAGUCAUGUGGAACAAGCACAGCUUGGAAUAUAGCACAGGAAGCAGACAAAUGUGGAAACUAGGCCAGGACAAAGAGGAAAAGAACAGCCAGGAUACUCUUCAAAAAUCACCUUUUGUGUCUGGGUUUGGAACAACACGAGGGGAAAGAAGAGCCCGCCGGAUGGACGGCAGAGACGUACAGUACUGCUGACAUACACACGGCAAAGAUAAUGCACCAAAAAUGAGACGAUGUGAUACGAAAAACAAUAAUAUCAAGCAGCCUGUAAAUAUAGAAGCAAUCACCUGAGGCUGGAGCCGACAGAAGAGAAAACAGAUGGAGAGAGAAGGAGAAAUACGCACAACUGUAUUUAAUGAAACAUUUCACUGCAGGGAGCUUAUCACAAUAUCUGUGGAGCAUUUCACAUAAUACACACACACACAAACAAAGAGAGAGUAGGACUAAGAGAAAGCGAUGGAGAUGGAGAAAGAAAGAAAGUAAAAGCAAUCAGUGUUGGAGAACCUCAUCAUGGUGACUGAGAGGAGAAAUCAGCGGAGGAGAUGCAGUCCUGAGUGGAAUCGGAGCAGACAUUUACCUAAUGUAAUGGAAUUCAAUUUGCAAGCGUGCCUCAGGUGAUCAUUCAUUCCAGAAGAAACUGUUUUGAUCAUUGCAAGCAAAAUAAUAAAAAAAACUUGUUUUUCUACACAGAGGAACAGAUUUGAUUCUUCAAACUGAAACUACAAAUUGGCAAACCUCACUAACAAAAAAGUUAUGGGUGAAUUAAAUUUAAUGGGAGCUAAUAAAUCAUUGCAUUUUGACAGGCAGAAUUGAAUUCAUUUUUAACCAACUUCAUGAGGUGAAUGUAAGGUACUAUCCCUUACUAACCAGUCCAAUUGUUCUAUUAAAAAAAUUGUCGGCAUCCAACUGUACUUACUUAGAAAAAAACUUGACUGAU